AUUGUACGUAAACGCCGUCUAUUACACCUAAUGCGAGAGAGAGAUCGAGCGCAAGGCAGGAGAGUCAGUUGGUACCCACAAAGGUACCGGGCACAAAAACGCUAGCCCACGGAUGCUGACUGGUCUUUCGCUUUUAUGUGCAAAUGUAAAUCUAUUUACAAUAUGUGUGAAAAGACAAGGCUAUUUAGCUUUACUUGUUCAUUGAAUGCUUGACCGACUGAAGAACAUGCCUAUUAUACGAGUAUCUCUCCGGGAAAAUUGAUUUUUCCGCAAAUAAAUUCAUUAUAUUAAUUAAAUAUUAAUUAGCUGUUAAGGAAAAUGUCGCAAAAAUUGCAAAUGUUUUUGCAGCACCUGCGCUUGGUUGGCUGCGGCACACGGGAAAAAUCAGUUACUAAUCCCCACACACGCACAAUUACUAACACACACAAACGAACAAGCACAUACCGAUCAUCAGCUGCGGCUCUUGUUUACCG
This 473-nucleotide small RNA is filed under the name Drosophila pseudoobscura pseudoobscura. RNAcentral describes it as "GA32458". The record is from RNAcentral. Lineage: Eukaryota; Metazoa; Arthropoda; Insecta; Diptera; Drosophilidae.